RNAcentral lists this ribosomal RNA (301 nucleotides) under uncultured bacterium. Its description in RNAcentral is "partial 16S ribosomal RNA". It matches the Rfam family "Bacterial small subunit ribosomal RNA", at positions 509 to 807 of the family's 1533-position model. The record is from RNAcentral.
CAGUCGCCGCGGGAAUACGUAGGGUGCAAGCGUUAAUCGGAAUUACUGGGCGUAAAGCGUGCGCAGGCGGUUUGUUAAGACAGAUGUGAAAUCCCCGGGCUCAACCUGGGAACUGCAUUUGUGACUGGCAAGCUAGAGUCUGGCAGAGGGGGGUGGAAUUCCGCGUGUAGCAGUGAAAUGCGUAGAUAUGCGGAGGAACACCGAUGGCGAAGGCAGCCCCCUGGGCCAACACUGACGCUCAUGCACGAAAGCGUGGGGAGCAAACAGGAUUAGAUACCCCGGUAGUCCCUGUCUCUUAUAC